Molecule: ribosomal RNA, 583 nt
Filed under: Aureobasidium pullulans
Lineage: Eukaryota; Fungi; Ascomycota; Dothideomycetes; Dothideales; Saccotheciaceae
Description: partial large subunit ribosomal RNA
Rfam family: Eukaryotic large subunit ribosomal RNA
Source: RNAcentral
GGAUUGCCCUAGUAACGGCGAGUGAAGCGGCAACAGCUCAAAUUUGAAAGCUAGCCUUCGGGUUCGCAUUGUAAUUUGUAGAGGAUGAUUUGGGGAAGCCGCCUGUCUAAGUUCCUUGGAACAGGACGUCAUAGAGGGUGAGAAUCCCGUAUGUGACAGGAAAUGGCACCCUAUGUAAAUCUCCUUCGACGAGUCGAGUUGUUUGGGAAUGCAGCUCUAAAUGGGAGGUAAAUUUCUUCUAAAGCUAAAUAUUGGCGAGAGACCGAUAGCGCACAAGUAGAGUGAUCGAAAGAUGAAAAGCACUUUGGAAAGAGAGUUAAAAAGCACGUGAAAUUGUUGAAAGGGAAGCGCUUGCAAUCAGACUUGUUUAAACUGUUCGGCCGGUCUUCUGACCGGUUUACUCAGUUUGGACAGGCCAGCAUCAGUUUCGGCGGCCGGAUAAAGGCUCUGGGAAUGUGGCCUCCACUUCGGUGGAGGUGUUAUAGCCCAGGGUGUAAUACGGCCAGCCGGGACUGAGGUCCGCGCUUCGGCUAGGAUGCUGGCGUAAUGGUUGUAAGCGACCCGUCUUGAAACACGGACCAAG